AUUGCCUUGGCAGAAUUAUGCACUAGACUUAGGAUCUAAUAAUGUGAGUUUUAAAUCUCACAGGUAAUA
This 69-nucleotide transfer RNA is filed under the name Sergia lucens. RNAcentral's name for it is "tRNA-Leu". It matches the Rfam family "tRNA". Rfam says of the family: Transfer RNA (tRNA) molecules are approximately 80 nucleotides in length. Their secondary structure includes four short double-helical elements and three loops (D, anti-codon, and T loops). The record is from RNAcentral. RNAcentral also lists the same sequence under 1 other name. Lineage: Eukaryota; Metazoa; Arthropoda; Malacostraca; Decapoda; Sergestidae.